GGAGGUGUAGUUUAGUGGUAGAACAUAUGCUUAAUAUGUGUGAAUCUCUGGGUUCAAGUCCCAGUAGCUCAC
RNAcentral lists this transfer RNA (72 nucleotides) under Mus musculus (house mouse). It matches the Rfam family "tRNA". From Rfam's summary of the family: Transfer RNA (tRNA) molecules are approximately 80 nucleotides in length. RNAcentral also lists the same sequence under 1 other name. Lineage: Eukaryota; Metazoa; Chordata; Mammalia; Rodentia; Muridae. The record is from Rfam by way of RNAcentral.